Molecule: long non-coding RNA, 209 nt
Filed under: Homo sapiens (human)
Lineage: Eukaryota; Metazoa; Chordata; Mammalia; Primates; Hominidae
Description: non-protein coding lnc-SLC35C1-7:1
Source: RNAcentral
GCGGAGAGGCUCCUCCCUUCUCAGACGGGGCAGCUGCCGGGCGGAGGGGCUCCUCACUUCUCAGACGGGGUGGCUGGGCUGCCUGGGAGGGGAGUCUUGUAUGCUAUGCAGGAAAGAGAGCAAGACCGCCAGUCAGGACCCUUGGUCAAGCUCCAGCUCUGCCCCUAACUAGCUGUGUGACCUUAGGCAAGUCCCUCAACCUCUCUGGG